AUGCAAGUCGAGCGCCCCGCAAGGGGAGCGGCAGACGGGAGAGUAACACGUGGGAACGUGCCCUUUGGUUCGGAACAACACAGGGAAACUUGUGCUAAUACCGGAUAAGUCCGUAAGGAGAAAGAUUUAUCGCCAAAGGAUCGGCCCGCGUCUGAUUAGCUUGUUGGUGAGGUAACGGCUCACCAAGGCGACGAUCAGUAGCUGGUCUGAGAGGAUGAUCAGCCUCACUGGGACUGAGACACGGCCCAGACUCCUACGGGAGGCAGCAGUGGGGAAUAUUGGACAAUGGGCGCAAGCCUGAUCCAGCCAUGCCGCGUGGAUGAUGAAGGCCUUAGGGUUGUAAAGUCCUUUCGGCGGGGAAGAUAAUGACGGUACCCGCAGAAGAAGCCCCGGCUAACUUCGUGCCAGCAGCCGCGGUAAUACGAAGGGGGCUAGCGUUGCUCGGAAUCACUGGGCGUAAAGCGCACGUAGGCGGCUUUUUAAGUCAGAGGUGAAAUCCUGGAGCUCAACUCCAGAACUGCCUUUGAUACUGGAGAGCUUGAGUCCGGGAGAGGUGAGUGGAACUGCGAGUGUAGAGGUGAAAUUCGUAGAUAUUCGCAAGAACACCAGUGGCGAAGGCGGCUCACUGGCCCGGUACUGACGCUGAGGUGCGAAAGCGUGGG
Molecule: ribosomal RNA, 662 nt
Filed under: uncultured soil bacterium
Lineage: Bacteria
Description: bacterial SSU rRNA
Rfam family: Bacterial small subunit ribosomal RNA
Source: RNAcentral